This 446-nucleotide ribosomal RNA is filed under the name uncultured bacterium. Its description in RNAcentral is "partial 16S ribosomal RNA". It matches the Rfam family "Bacterial small subunit ribosomal RNA", at positions 331 to 794 of the family's 1533-position model. The record is from RNAcentral.
CCAGACUCCUACGGGAGGCAGCAGUGGGGAAUAUUGCACAAUGGGGGAAACCCUGAUGCAGCAACGCCGCGUGAGUGAAGAAGUAUUUCGGUAUGUAAAGCUCUAUCAGCAGGGAAGAAAAUGACGGUACCUGACUAAGAAGCCCCGGCUAACUACGUGCCAGCAGCCGCGGUAAUACGUAGGGGGCAAGCGUUAUCCGGAAUUACUGGGUGUAAAGGGAGCGCAGACGGCAGUGCAAGUCUGGAGUGAAAGCCCGUGGCUUAACUACGGGACUGCUCUGGAAACUGUGCAGCUAGAGUGCAGGAGAGGCAGGCGGAAUUCCUAGUGUAGCGGUGAAAUGCGUAGAUAUUAGGAAGAACACCAGUGGCGAAGGCGGCUUUCUGGACUGAAACUGACGCUGAGGCACGAAAGCGUGGGGAGCGAACAGGAUUAGAUACCCCCGUACA